GCAAGUCGAGCGCGCCCUUCGGGCUUAGUGGCGCACGGGUGAGUAACGCGUGGGAACCUACCCAUAAGUACGGGACAACAGUUGGAAACGACUGCUAAUACCGUAUGUGCCCUUCGGGGGAAAGAUUUAUCGCUUAUGGAUGGGCCCGCGUUAGAUUAGCUAGUUGGUGGGGUAAAGGCCUACCAAGGCUACGAUCUAUAUCUGGUUUGAGAGGAUGAUC
This 220-nucleotide ribosomal RNA is filed under the name uncultured bacterium. RNAcentral's name for it is "partial 16S ribosomal RNA". It matches the Rfam family "Bacterial small subunit ribosomal RNA", at positions 57 to 305 of the family's 1533-position model. The record is from RNAcentral.